Molecule: long non-coding RNA, 1233 nt
Filed under: Phascolarctos cinereus (koala)
Lineage: Eukaryota; Metazoa; Chordata; Mammalia; Diprotodontia; Phascolarctidae
Description: lncRNA (ENSPCIG00000015983.2)
Source: RNAcentral
CAGUAUCUUCUAUGGAGAAAAAAGCAAAACAAAACAAAACAGAAAACCAAGGCCAAGCUCCAUGGACUCAAAGUACCCCAUUCUUGCCUCUUCCUGGAGCCGAGUCUUAAGUACAGUAGGCUUCAGGUUAAUCAGUUCUCAGACUCUGGCCCCAAGACAUGACCUCAGUUGAUAAAAACUCUCAUUAAGUCUGGCUCCCAGACAAGUGGCAUUCAGUCCUCGCCGUAGUUACCUCAACUUCUCAACCUGAAGGCCGGAAGAAGAGAACCGGAACCUAGAAAUGAAGAGGUUAAUCCUAUUAGCCAGUUUAGCUGUUCUGCUGUUGCAAGUGGUUCAUGGAGCCUCCAAAUACCAGGUCUUAAUGAAUGCCAAAAGAAAGGACAGCUUCUCUGAAGAGAACCCUAAUAAACAAUUGAAUUUGGGCCCAAAGGCUGUUGAACAAUCAGAAAAAGACAACCUUCUCACUGAGCCCAGACGGGAGCUUUUCACAGACUGGGAGGAAAACCAAGACACAGAUAUCUUGAGACGUUUUCGAAAUCUGAUGCAAUUACCUGAGGAAGACAGAGAUGUCCUUUACCACUCAAGAUCCACAGAGGAUAUCAUUGGAGAACCCAAAAUGUUGAGGAAGCCUUCUUAUGAAGUGCUACAGGGGCCAGAAGAGGACCGGGACCAUAUCUACCAUGCUGAAGAUUAACAGAUCAAAUAAUUUUUACCAACAGACCAAAGACUCAGCCAAAAAACACACCAUGCCAUUUUAUUCUCCAUGUUUUCUUUUUUUCUCUCCUAGUGGUAUUUACUAUGGCUGCUCUUUCCACACCAAUGAUAAGAAUGAUCAUAGGACCUAAUCCCCUCUCCUUUUAAAACAUCCAUGUUUGCUCUUUUUCAGACUUUAUUAAACAUCUUUUGAUUAUUAAGGCUAAUGUAAGAAUGGCCAUCCAAAUCACAACAUAUUGUGUUAAUAAUUCCAAAGAAAGUCCCAUACAAAAUUCAUGUAUCUUUGCUUUUAGAAUAUAGGAGAGACAGACAGACAGACACAGAGAGAGUCAUACUGAGGUUGUGAUCUGUCUACAUUGGUUUAAAAAGUUUAAAAAGAGGUUAGUCCUCUCCUGGCUUGGCUAUUUCAUCCCUCAAAGCCUAAUGCAGGGUAAAGAUCAUGUAUUUUAGUGCUCCCAGACCCCUCCUAUGAUUCCAUGAUAUAUUUACUCAUGAAAAUAAACAUAUACAAAGAAGCCA